This is a non-coding RNA of Pangasianodon gigas (Mekong giant catfish), 72 nucleotides long. Lineage: Eukaryota; Metazoa; Chordata; Actinopteri; Siluriformes; Pangasiidae. The record is from the annotation of a GenBank genome assembly.
UCCCUGGAGGACUAGUGGUCAUGCCUCAGCGCACAUACCACCACAGCCCGUGUUCGAUUCCCGGGCAGGGAA